UACGAGGGGGGCAAAUGUUGUUCGGAAUCACUGGGCGUAAAGGGCGCGUAGGCGGGUGUUUAAGUUAGGUGUUUAAUCCCAGGGCCCAACCCUGGUCGUGCACUUAAAACUGGACAUCUUGAAUAGGGGAGAGGUCAGUGGAAUUGGGGGUGUAGCGGUGGAAUGCGUAGAGAUCCCCAAGAACACCAGUUGCGAAGGCGGCUGACUGGACCCAUAUUGACGCUGAGGCUCGAAAGCAUGGGGAGCAAACAGG
This 253-nucleotide ribosomal RNA is filed under the name uncultured bacterium. Its description in RNAcentral is "partial 16S ribosomal RNA". It matches the Rfam family "Bacterial small subunit ribosomal RNA", at positions 524 to 776 of the family's 1533-position model. The record is from RNAcentral.